Molecule: long non-coding RNA, 281 nt
Organism: Homo sapiens (human)
Lineage: Eukaryota; Metazoa; Chordata; Mammalia; Primates; Hominidae
Source: Ensembl
CAAAAACACACCGGGAGGUUUCUCAGCUCAGCGAAGACAGAGGCACUAAUAACAAGAUGGGCAUCACAUGCCUAUCAACCAUAAUGCUCCACAUGGACUCAGCCUGCCCUUGAAAAGGAAGGCACACAGAAGAACGAUGAGACUUAAGAGGAAAGACUUCAGCCAGUUGUUUCAAUGGCUUUUAAAUUUGGCAAGUACUGCUACACUUUCCCGAAGUGACAGUGGGCCCUCGCAGCAACCCUCCUACCUGUACCCUCAGAAGUGAUACUUACAUAGCCCAG